RNAcentral lists this ribosomal RNA (253 nucleotides) under uncultured bacterium. Its description in RNAcentral is "partial 16S ribosomal RNA". It matches the Rfam family "Bacterial small subunit ribosomal RNA", at positions 524 to 776 of the family's 1533-position model. The record is from RNAcentral.
UACAGAGGGUGCAAGCGUUAAUCGGAAGUACUGGGCGUAAAGCGUGCGCAGGCGGUGAUGUAAGACAGAUGUGAAAUCCCCGGGCUCAACCUGGGAACUGCAUUUGUGACUGCAUCGCUGGAGUGCGGCAGAGGGGGAUGGAAUUCCGCGUGUAGCAGUGAAAUGCGUAGAUAUGCGGAGGAACACCGAUGGCGAAGGCAAUCCCCUGGGCCUGCACUGACGCUCAUGCACGAAAGCGUGGGGAGCAAACAGG